Molecule: RNA transcript, 2175 nt
Organism: Oryza brachyantha (malo sina)
Lineage: Eukaryota; Viridiplantae; Streptophyta; Magnoliopsida; Poales; Poaceae
Gene name: probable ADP-ribosylation factor GTPase-activating protein AGD9
Exons: 6
Source: RefSeq, a predicted model, not a curated record
GAGAAAACGGGAAGAAGAAAGAAAGAAACGAGUCGCUCUCGCUCGCCACGGCUAACCAGGAGUAUUCACCCUCUUCCUAAAGGCAAAAGAAAGAUGCAAGGAAGGAAGCUUCCGUCAGAUCCAAUCGCCUGUCGGCGCAGCGGAGCGCUGCAAAUUUGCAAACUUGCUGCAUUUGCAAUCGCAGAGGAGGAGGCAAAGGAAAAGGAGGAGGGCUGUUUCUGUUUGUUUGGUCGUCGGCUCGGCUCGGCUCGGCUCCUCCGCCUAAUCGUAAUUGGUUUGUUGGGCUUGGUCGCGGUCGUAUAUAGCCCGGCGUCCGUCUACUCAAAGGCGACUCCUUUCCUUACCAAACUGCGAUUUUUCUGCAACCUCCUCCUCCUCCCAUCGCCCGCCGCCCAGAUCUCUGCUGCAGUCAUGGCGUUCGACGCCUUCACCGACAAGAACGCCCUCUUCCGCCGCCUCAAGGCCAAGCCCGAGAACAAGAUGUGCUUCGACUGCAGCGCCAAGAACCCCACCUGGGCCUCCGUCACCUACGGCAUCUUCCUCUGCCUCGACUGCUCCGCCGUCCACCGCAGCCUCGGCGUCCACAUCACCUUCGUCAGGUCAACAAACCUAGAUUCAUGGACUCCAGAUCAACUGAAGAUGAUGGCUUUUGGAGGCAACAAUCGUGCACAUGCUUUCUUUAAACAGCACGGUUGGACAGAUGGUGGCAAGGUCGAGGCAAAGUACACAUCAAGGGCUGCUGAAUUGUACAGGCAGAUACUGCAAAAGGAAGUUGCCAAGAGUUCUGCUGAUAAUGUCUUGCCAUCAUCGCCGGUUGCAGCAUCUCAACCACAAAAUCCAUCCGAUGACUUUCCUGAAUUCAAGUUACCAGAUGCACCGGCAGAGAAUACCAAUGGGAAGCAAGAACCAGAUGUCGCCACAAAAGCACCUACCCAGACACCAAAAGCCCCUACGCAUCCCACCUUCGCCACUUCUGUAAAGAAACCCAUUGGUGCGAAGAAGGUUGGAGGCAAGACUGGAGGGCUUGGUGUUAAAAAACUCACUACAAAGCCAAGUGAAAGCCUGUAUGAUCAGAAACCUGAAGAGCCAAAACCUGCUGUCCCAGCAAUGACUACAUCUGCCACGAAAAGCGGCCCAUCGUUGCAUUCACGUUUUGAAUAUGUGGAGAAUGAGCCAGCAGUUGAUUCAAGAAAUGGAGGAACUCAAUUGUCUGGUCACGUGGCACCACCGAAAUCAUCAAACUUCUUUCAAGAGUACGGAAUGGAUAAUGGGUUCCAAAAGAAAACUAGCACAGCUGCCUCAAAGACCCAGAUUCAGGAGACUGAUGAAGCAAGGAAAAAAUUCUCCAACGCAAAGGCAAUUUCAUCAUCUCAGUUUUUUGGUAAUCAAAGCAGAGAAGAGAAAGAAGCUCAAAUGUCACUUCAAAAGUUUGCGGUGCGUGUUGGUUUAGCAUCACUUAGUCUGAGGACCAUUACAUCUCCUCUUUGAACUUUUUGAAGUGAAUUCAUAAUUUCAUUGCAUUGCAAACCUGAAAUUUCCUGUCUACAGCUUAUGUGUUUUUGUGCUUAAACUUCAUUUGAAUAUUCUGGAAAAGCUUGCCUUUUUAACUUGCAUUUCGCCUGUUGUUUCAAUUCAGGGUUCUUCAUCCAUCUCAAGCGCUGAUCUCUUUGGCCGCCGUGACAUGGAUGAUUCGAAUCUGGACUUAAGCGCUGCGGAUCUCAUCAAUAGAAUAUCGUUCCAGGCUACUCAAGAUCUGUCGUCCCUCAAGAACAUGGCUGGAGAAACUGGAAAGAAGCUGACCUCUAUUGCCUCCAAUUUCAUCAGUGACCUCGACAGAAUCCUUUGAGCGGUUGAUGGACUGAGAUCGUUAGCAUUUUUUGUUUUGGCAAACCUGCACAGAAUACCGCUUCAAGUUUAAAAUUUGGUGCACCUCCGACCAUUUCAAAGCAUUUGUUGCACAGCUAUGUAGAGGAUAGUAGAUGAUUGGCAAUUAUGCAUCUGUAAUCUUUUUUCCUUUUUAUUAUUGUUGAAACCCUGUCCACAUGAAGAUAUUUUUAUUCAUUUCUUGACAAGAUUGAAACAUACGAUGGUAUUCAUUCCAGCUAGUCGUAUCUGGAAAGAAGAAUUGCUUUGAUGUGCCUGUGCUAAAUGGAAAGAGUCAGGCUAUUUCUCACU